CAGCAGCCACGGUAAUACGAAGGGUGCAAGCGUUAAUCGGAAUUACUGGGCGUAAAGCGUGCGUAGGCGGUGAGUUAAGUCUGCUGUGAAAGCCCUGGGCUCAACCUGGGAAUUGCAGUGGAUACUGGGUCACUAGAGUGUGGUAGAGGAUAGUGGAAUUUCCGGUGUAGCAGUGAAAUGCGUAGAGAUCGGAAGGAACAUCUGUGGCGAAGGCGACUAUCUGGGCCAACACUGACACUGAGGCACGAAAGCGUGGGGAGCAAACAGGAUUAGAUACCCCCGUAGUCCCUGUCUCUUAUAC
Molecule: ribosomal RNA, 301 nt
Filed under: uncultured bacterium
Lineage: Bacteria
Description: partial 16S ribosomal RNA
Rfam family: Bacterial small subunit ribosomal RNA
Source: RNAcentral